ACAAAAGGAACACCACAAGAAAAUUCCUGCAGAAGGAACACCAUAUGCAUGGUGAGUUUCUUGAUUUUCUCUAAAACAUUUAGGUCCUGCCAUACCAAAGAAUGUGUGUUUAGGUGAUUUGGAUUAUGAGGACUUUCUAUAAAUGUGGCUUGGCAUGGGUAACCGCAUGGGUAACCUGAAACUGAAUGCAUCCAGGAUGAUGAGCCAUGCGCCGCCUGCUUUACUUGAGUUAUUCAGAUUCUGUUCAAUUGAGUGAAGAGCUGGUUGCAUCAUUUAUUCAUCGGCUCCAAUUUAGUGUGACCACCUUAUAGUACACUUUAAUAGACCGUUUGGCUUUCUUUAGUAACUUUUGAUGCCUAGAUAUCCCUCUAAUUGUGUUCUUAAUUUCUUUCUGACCUUAGUUUGUUGUAAAUUACUUAGUUCUGAAAAUUUGGUUGAUAAUUGUUCUGCAGAGAUGGUUGGAGAACUGGCAAAAGAAAGCAACAUUUUCUAAGGCUUCCUAGAGAUGGAUAUUGGAAUCAUGAGUUUUAUGUUGUUGCUUUACUCAAGAUUUCUCGAUUUCUAUAUAUAGGUUUUAACUUCUCUUCUAUGGCUAUGAAUGUCAAAUAUUGCUUGUACAAUAGUUGGUUCCUUGGCUGGCAAUAUAAAAGAUUAUACUUGCGUCAUGCUUUUCUUCUUUUGAUGCUAUUUGUAACUAUUCUUUAGAAGCACUGGUUUAAGAAGAAAAUGGAGGGGAUCAUCUGCCAAGGACAAGGCGACAUCAGAUUCUUCUGUCUCCAGAAGCUCUGAUUAAAUCAAAUGAUUGAUGCAAACAGUGAUGGGUGUCAUCUUUAUUGCUUGGAUGGCAAUUUGCUAUGCUGUGAUGGUUGUCCAGCUGCAUUUCAUUUGAAAAUGUGGGAUCUUUUGCCUGAAGGUGAUUAGAAUUGUCCUAAGUGUUUACUACAGAAUAAUGGUGUAUAGAGGAAUAUUGAAAAUCCUAUUAGAUGGGCUGAGAUUCAAGGAAUCAAUCCACGUGGCAUGGCUGACUAUACUUUGGCACUUGCAGCUAUCUUUUGGUGUAAGUUGUUUCGGACCCCUUCCUCUGGUGUUACAUGUAUAUCUUUCUGAAUGAUUUUUUGGGCUCUAGUGUGCUUUUUAAAAGAUGUCCCUCUGCUAUAUGACCUCCUAUAUUUUUCAAAAACUACAUAGUGGUAUAAUCCAACUAGGAUGCUGAAACUUAUCUGCAAAUUAUUGGUUGUGAUACAAUCCAACAGCCUCUUGUUCAGGAGAAACCUGAGAGUACUUUAGUGUAUGGUAGGUCUUGUUAAUAUCAACUCAUAGCUGCCCAUUCUCUGAAAAUAGCCAAUGCCAUUUGCAGAUAAAAGUAGACACUAGGUAAAUGUUGAAGGUCGACCGUGCAACUAGAAGAAGGCAAAAAGAAGUAGCAACAUAGGUUGAGGAACAAUUUUGGUGCACUGAACAAGAAAACAACACAAUAUCUGAAUCUGUUAUUUGUUAUAAGAGCUUUCUGCAGAACGUUUGCUCCUGCUAGAGAGUUUGCCCCAUGAUCGAAUAAUUCAGCUUCAAGGUUUAUCUCCUUUGGUUCAUCUUGCAUUGGGUUUGUCACAUUGAUUCCACUCCAUGGUCAGGUACCUACUGCUUGUCUAACAAAAAUACGAUAUUUUAGCAUUAGCAAAUAUUUGUCUCAAUGAAAUCCAACAU
This 1701-nucleotide long non-coding RNA is filed under the name Sorghum bicolor (sorghum). RNAcentral describes it as "long non-coding RNA (SBIC_LNC015018)". Lineage: Eukaryota; Viridiplantae; Streptophyta; Magnoliopsida; Poales; Poaceae. The record is from RNAcentral.